This 227-nucleotide unclassified non-coding RNA is filed under the name Hevea brasiliensis (rubber tree). Lineage: Eukaryota; Viridiplantae; Streptophyta; Magnoliopsida; Malpighiales; Euphorbiaceae. The record is from RNAcentral.
CAGGUGAUACCACGAUCUAUUUGGCUUGAUAGCAAUGGUCGGCAACUCGUGCAAUGGCCCAUCAAAGAGUUGAAUACUCUCAGAGGUGAAAAUGCUCAGCUAUCCGACACCAUUUUGACGACGAACAGUGUGGUUGAAGUUCAAGGAAUACAAACUUCAGAGGCUGAUGUUGAGGUUAUGUUUGAGUUGCCAAACCUUGAGAAGGCAGAGUCAUUUGAUCCAUCUUG